UGUCAAGCUACAAAGGGCUCACGGAGGAUACCUAGGCACACAGAGGCGAUGAAGGACGUGGUUACCUGCGAUAAGUCUCGGGGAGUUGGAAGCACACUUUGAUCCGGGAAUUUCCGAAUGGGGCAACCCCUUGAACGACCAACGGAAUAUAUAGGAUGGGUGCGAGCUAACCCAGCGAACUGAAACAUCUUAGUAGCGGAGGAAGAGAACUAUACC
RNAcentral lists this ribosomal RNA (216 nucleotides) under uncultured cyanobacterium. RNAcentral's name for it is "partial 23S ribosomal RNA". It matches the Rfam family "Bacterial large subunit ribosomal RNA", at positions 1 to 230 of the family's 2925-position model. Lineage: Bacteria; Bacillati; Cyanobacteriota. The record is from RNAcentral.